UCAAAAUCUAAAUUGACUUCAAGACCUCCCUUCAACUUCCACACUGACAACUUGGGUCUAGGAGAAAUGAGGAUUAGAAGUGGUCGUACUGGUGAUGAGCAAAAGCCUCAAUUCAUUAACACUGUGAACCAUGGAGAUUUAGCUAAGAGUGGGGAACACCCUCUGUAUGUUAUCAACAUAGAAAUUACCAUGGCAUUAGAGUUCACAAAUCUGCAAUUUGGUGUCUUUAUUUAUUUAUUUAUUUUUUUGGUCCUUUUAGAACCUAUAACAUAAGUAUACGUGGUUAGAUCAUCCAUGCUGCAAGUAGAUGUAUACCUAAUUUUAGUCAUGAUUUGUGAACCUUAGCAAUAUUGGCAAUAUUCUCACUGAUCUAGUUUUGUCCUUUUUCUCAGGGAAGGGUCCUUCACAGCCUGCUCCUAAGUUUGUUGGGAACUUGAUAGCAUUCAUACUAAACUUGAUUGGUCCUAAGGGUCUGGAGUUUGCUCGGUACUCAUUAGAUUACCAUACAAUAAGAAACUAUCUGUACGUAAAUCGUACUUGGGGAAAACAAAGAGCUGACAGGCACAUGCCAUCAUAUGCAAAGAAAAUUGUAGAUAUGUAUAACCAGAAUGGAGAAGUUGAUAGGAUGCUCUCGAACAAAUGAUCUCCCAAGCAGUCUCAAUGUGCCUAAAAUUGCCUUCUUUUUCAGUUUUCUGAAAUUUCCUUAGUUUAUUACAUCUCAGAUUGAUUGGCCUUGUAUCUUAACUGUUACAGCCCUGCACAGGUGAGAGGUGAGAACCUUGUGUGAGUAUUUUAGAUGUUCAUGGUAUUUCUAUGAACAUUCAAGUUGAUGGUGUAAGUUCCCACAAAAAAAAAAAAAGGGUGAUGGUUUAAAUAUUC
This is a long non-coding RNA of Macadamia integrifolia, 879 nucleotides long. RefSeq lists it as uncharacterized. The transcript has 3 exons. The record is from RefSeq and is a predicted model, not a curated record. NCBI's taxonomy places the organism in Eukaryota, Viridiplantae, Streptophyta, Magnoliopsida, Proteales, Proteaceae.